AUUGAACGCUGGCGGCAGGCCUAACACAUGCAAGUCGAACGGAAACGAUGAAGAGCUUGCUCUUCAGGCGUCGAGUGGCGGACGGGUGAGUAAUGACUGGGGAACUGCCCGAUGGAGGGGGAUAACUACUGGAAACGGUAGCUAAUACCGCAUAAUGUCUUCGGACCAAAGUGGGGGACCUUCGGGCCUCACACCAUCGGAUGUACCCAGUUGGGAUUAGCUAGUAGGUGAGGUAAUGGCUCACCUAGGCGACGAUCCCUAGCUGGUCUGAGAGGAUGACCAGCCACACUGGGACUGAGACACGGCCCAGACUCCUACGGGAGGCAGCAGUGGGGGAUAUUGCACAAUGGAGGAAACUCUGAUGCAGCGACGUCGCGUGAGUGAUUGACGGUCUUCGGAUUGUAAAAGCUCUGUCAACGGGGACGAUAAUGACGGUACCCGUGGAGGAAGCC
This 452-nucleotide ribosomal RNA is filed under the name uncultured Enterobacteriaceae bacterium. Its description in RNAcentral is "bacterial SSU rRNA". It matches the Rfam family "Bacterial small subunit ribosomal RNA", at positions 30 to 492 of the family's 1533-position model. Lineage: Bacteria; Pseudomonadati; Pseudomonadota; Gammaproteobacteria; Enterobacterales; Enterobacteriaceae. The record is from RNAcentral.